This 465-nucleotide ribosomal RNA is filed under the name Vreelandella stevensii. Its description in RNAcentral is "partial 16S ribosomal RNA". It matches the Rfam family "Bacterial small subunit ribosomal RNA", at positions 338 to 795 of the family's 1533-position model. Lineage: Bacteria; Pseudomonadati; Pseudomonadota; Gammaproteobacteria; Oceanospirillales; Halomonadaceae. The record is from RNAcentral.
CCUACGGGCGGCAGCAGUGGGGAAUAUUGGACAAUGGGGGCAACCCUGAUCCAGCCAUGCCGCGUGUGUGAAGAAGGCCCUCGGGUUGUAAAGCACUUUCAGUGAGGAAGAACGCCUGGUGGUUAAUACCCAUCAGGAAAGACAUCACUCACAGAAGAAGCACCGGCUAACUCCGUGCCAGCAGCCGCGGUAAUACGGAGGGUGCGAGCGUUAAUCGGAAUUACUGGGCGUAAAGCGCGCGUAGGUGGCUUGAUAAGCCGGUUGUGAAAGCCCCGGGCUCAACCUGGGAACGGCAUCCGGAACUGGCAAGCUAGAGUGCAGGAGAGGAAGGUAGAAUUCCCGGUGUAGCGGUGAACUGCGUAGAGAUCGGGAGGAAUACCAGUGGCGAAGGCGGCCUUCUGGACUGACACUGACACUGAGGUGCGAAAGCGUGGGUAGCAAACAGGAUUAGAUAACCUAGUAGUC